CUUUGCCUGCUAUCUCUUACCCAUGUCUUUUGAGUACCUUACGUUUCCUCGGUGGGUUCGCCCACCGAUUGGACAAAUUUAAACCCUUUGCAGUUGAAAUCAGCGUCUGAAAAAACUUAAUAGUUACAACUUUCAACAACGGAUCUCUUGGUUCUGGCAUCGAUGAAGAACGCAGCGAAAUGCGAUAAGUAGUGUGAAUUGCAGAAUUCAGUGAAUCAUCGAAUCUUUGAACGCACAUUGCGCCCCUUGGUAUUCCAUGGGGCAUGCCUGUUCGAGCGUCAUUUGUACCUUCAAGCUCUGCUUGGUGUUGGGUGUUUGUCUCCUGUAGACUCGCCUUAAAACAAUUGGCAGCCGGCGUAUUGAUUUCGGAGCGCAGUACAUCUCGCGCUUUGCACUCAUAACGACGACAUCCAAAAGUACAUUUUUACACUCUUGACCUCGGAUCAGGUAGGGAUACCCGCUGAACUUAA
Molecule: ribosomal RNA, 470 nt
Filed under: fungal sp. KL-2011
Lineage: Eukaryota; Fungi
Description: eukaryotic LSU rRNA
Rfam family: 5.8S ribosomal RNA (bases 128-281)
Source: RNAcentral